Molecule: ribosomal RNA, 468 nt
Filed under: uncultured bacterium
Lineage: Bacteria
Description: partial 16S ribosomal RNA
Rfam family: Bacterial small subunit ribosomal RNA
Source: RNAcentral
GACGAACGCUGGCGGCGUGCUUAACACAUGCAAGUCGAACGGAAAGGCCCUGCUUUUGUGGGGUGCUCGAGUGGCGAACGGGUGAGUAACACGUGAGUAACCUGCCCUUGACUUUGGGAUAACUUCAGGAAACUGGGGCUAAUACCGGAUAGGAGCUCCUGCUGCAUGGUGGGGGUUGGAAAGUUUCGGCGGUUGGGGAUGGACUCGCGGCUUAUCAGCUUAUUGGUGGGGUAGAGGCUUACCAAGGCUUUGACGGGUAGCCGGCCUGAGAGGGUGACCGGCCACAUUGGGACUGAGAUACGGCCCAGACUCCUACGGGAGGCAGCAGUGGGGAAUAUUGCACAAUGGGCGGAAGCCUGAUGCAGCAACGCCGCGUGCGGGAUGACGGCCUUCGGGUUGUAAACCGCUUUCGCCUGUGACGAAGCGUGAGUGACGGUAAUGGGUAAAGAAGCACCGGCUAACUACGUG